CCUACGGGUGGCAGCAGUGAGGAAUAUUGGUCAAUGGACGAGAGUCUGAACCAGCCAAGUAGCGUGAAGGAUGACUGCCCUAUGGGUUGUAAACUUCUUUUAUAAAGGAAUAAAACGAGGCACGUGUGCCUUUUUGCAUGUACUUUAUGAAUAAGGAUCGGCUAACUCCGUGCCAGCAGCCGCGGUAAUACGGAGGAUCCGAGCGUUAUCCGGAUUUAUUGGGUUUAAAGGGUGCGUAGGUGGAUUGUUAAGUCAGUUGUGAAAGUUUGCGGCUCAACCGUAAAAUUGCAGUUGAAACUGGCAUUCUUGAGUACAGUAGAGGUGUGCGGAAUGCGUGGUGUAGCGGUGAAAUGCUUAGAUAUCACGAAGAACUCCGAUUGCGAAGGCAGUUCACUGGACUGCAACUGACACUGAGGCUCGAAAGUGUGGGUAUCAAACAGGAUUAGAUACCCGGGUAGUC
Molecule: ribosomal RNA, 460 nt
Filed under: uncultured bacterium
Lineage: Bacteria
Description: partial 16S ribosomal RNA
Rfam family: Bacterial small subunit ribosomal RNA
Source: RNAcentral